Molecule: ribosomal RNA, 250 nt
Filed under: uncultured archaeon
Lineage: Archaea
Description: partial 16S ribosomal RNA
Rfam family: Archaeal small subunit ribosomal RNA
Source: RNAcentral
UACGCUCGGGCUAGCGGUAAAAUGCGUUGAACCUGAGCGGACUACCAGAGGCGAAGGCGUCUGUCCAAAACAUGUCUGACGGUGAGGGGCGAAAGCUGGGGGAGCAAAGGGGAUUAGAUACCCCCGUAGUCCCAGCUGUAAAUGAUGCUCACUAGAAAAUUCUAUACCUUUGUGGUAUAGAGUUUCCCAAGCGAAGGCGUUAAGUGAGCCACCUGGGGAGUACGACCGCAAGGUUGAAACUUAAAGGAAU